RNAcentral lists this ribosomal RNA (253 nucleotides) under uncultured bacterium. RNAcentral's name for it is "partial 16S ribosomal RNA". It matches the Rfam family "Bacterial small subunit ribosomal RNA", at positions 524 to 776 of the family's 1533-position model. The record is from RNAcentral.
CACGGGGGGAGCGAGCGUUGUCCGGAAUCAUUGGGCGUAAAGGGCGCGUAGGCGGCCACGCACGUCCGUUGUGAAAUCGCCCGGCUCAACUGGGCGGGGUCAGCGGAUACGGUGUGGCUCGAGCAAGCUAGGGGGCAAUGGAAUUCCCGGUGUAGUGGUGGAAUGCGUAGAUAUCGGGAGGAACACCAGUGGCGAAGGCGGUUGCCUGGAGCUUUGCUGACGCUGAGGCGCGAAAGCGUGGGGAGCGAUCCGG